RNAcentral lists this unclassified non-coding RNA (5263 nucleotides) under Helicoverpa zea (corn earworm). RNAcentral's name for it is "inositol hexakisphosphate and diphosphoinositol- pentakisphosphate kinase, transcript variant X15". The record is from RNAcentral. Lineage: Eukaryota; Metazoa; Arthropoda; Insecta; Lepidoptera; Noctuidae.
UUUUGAAUUCUGUAUGAUCUGUGCAGGGCAUAUUUUUGAAAAUAUUUUUAUAUUUUUGUUUUACUUUAUAUUUUUGUUUCCAAGAUUUGCUACUGGUGUUUAGGCGCAGCUUAAUGAUAUUGACAAAUUAUAAAACAGAAAUAGGCAGGUGUAUGUAGGUAAUGUCAUACACUGAGCUCGAACAUGGCUAUCAAGGGUUGCGGCAAGCUACUCAGCCCCAAUUUUAUGUCGGAGAUGACGGAAAUCUUGUACCGAUAAGAUCAUCACUUUACAUGCUGACAAUGACAAGUGAGGGCGAGUUGGAUCUGUGCGAGUCGCUGGACCCGCACAGCGAUGGCGGGGGUAAGAAGGUGGUGGUCGGCGUUUGCGCCAUGGCCAAGAAGUCGCAGUCGAAGCCCAUGAAGGAGAUCCUCACCCGCCUCGACGAGUUCGAGUACAUCAAGAUGCUGGUCUUCCCAGAGGAGGUUAUCCUUAAGAAACCUGUGGAAGAGUGGCCCAUCUGCGACUGUCUUAUUUCGUUUCACUCGAAGGGCUUCCCCUUAGACAAGGCCAUACAAUACGAGAAGUUACGGAAGCCCUAUGUUAUAAAUAAUCUUCACAUGCAGUAUGAUAUUCAGGAUCGUAGAAAAGUAUACGCGAUACUAGAGGGUGAAGGUAUAGAGAUACCUAGAUAUGCAGUAUUAGAUAGAGAUUCGCCGGAUCCAAAGCAUCACGAGCUGGUGGAAUCAGAAGACCACGUGGAAGUGAACGGCGUGGUGUUCAACAAGCCCUUCGUGGAGAAGCCGGUGUCAGCCGAGGAUCAUAACAUUUAUAUCUACUACCCCACCUCCGCCGGCGGAGGCAGCCAGAGACUCUUUAGAAAGAUAGGAAGUCGGAGUAGUAUAUAUUCACCAGAAUCGAGAGUCAGGAAAACAGGGUCCUUUAUUUAUGAAGAUUUUAUGCCCACUGAUGGUACGGACGUAAAAGUAUACACAGUUGGACCGGACUACGCUCACGCAGAGGCUCGCAAGUCUCCCGCGUUAGACGGCAAAGUCGAGAGGGAUUCCGAAGGCAAGGAGAUCAGAUACCCCGUGAUAUUGUCUAAUCAAGAGAAGCUAAUAUCCAGGAAGGUUUGUUUGGCCUUCAAACAGACUGUGUGCGGGUUUGAUUUGCUUAGAGCAAACGGCAAAUCGUUCGUGUGCGACGUCAACGGGUUUUCUUUCGUGAAGAAUUCAAACAAAUACUACGAUGAUUGUGCUAAGAUCUUGGGUAAUAUGAUCUUACGGGAGUUGGCGCCGACGUUACACAUUCCAUGGUCGGUGCCCUUUCAGUUGGACGACCCGCCCAUAGUGCCGACCACGUUUGGGAAAAUGAUGGAGUUGCGAUGUGUGGUCGCCGUUAUAAGACAUGGGGAUCGAACGCCUAAACAGAAGAUGAAGGUUGAAGUGAGGCAUCAGAGAUUCUUCGAAAUAUUCGAGAAAUAUGACGGUUUCAAGCGCGGCCAUGUAAAACUAAAGAAACCCAAACAGUUGCAAGAGAUAUUGGACAUCGCCCGCGCGUUGCUGUCGGACAUACAGACGCGACACGCCGACCCUGAGAUUGAGGAGAAGCAGGGCAAGCUGGAACAGCUUAAGAGUGUUCUGGAAAUGUACGGUCACUUCUCUGGCAUCAACCGCAAGGUGCAGAUGAAGUACCAGCCGCGGGGCCGGCCGCGCGGCUCCAGCUCCGACGACGGUAACGCGCCGCCGCCACACGUAAGUGGUGGUGGGGAGCCGUCCUUAGUGCUAAUACUGAAAUGGGGGGGAGAGCUGACCCCCGCGGGGAGGAUACAGGCGGAAGAGUUGGGGAGGAUGUUCAGAUGCAUGUAUCCUGGCGGACAGGGAAGACAUAUACCUGGUGAAAGUGGCACCCAAGGCCUAGGCCUCCUCCGUCUCCACUCCACCUUCCGCCACGACCUCAAGAUCUACGCGUCAGACGAGGGGCGCGUACAAAUGACUGCAGCAGCCUUCGCUAAAGGCCUGCUGGCUUUGGAGGGAGAAUUGACGCCUAUAUUAGUGCAGAUGGUCAAAUCUGCGAAUACUAAUGGGCUGUUGGAUAACGACUGUGAUUCGUCUAAAGUUCAGAAUAUGGCCAAAGCCCGUCUGCACGAGGCCAUGCAGGUAGACCGUGAUUUCACGGACGCGGACCGGUCGCGCAUCAACCCGUGCGAGUCCGUCAGCAUCAGCGCCGCCAUGCACUUCGUCAAGAACCCCGUGCGCUGCUGCGCCCACGUGCAUACUCUUAUACAGCAGCUUGUGAGAAUUGUCGUCACUAAGAAGGACGACCCCAAGACUAAAGACACAAUACUCUACCACGGUGAAACGUGGGAGCUAAUGGGCCGUCGCUGGGGUAAGAUCGAGAAGGAUUUCUGCACGAAAAACAAAACGUAUGACAUAUCCAAGAUCCCGGACAUUUAUGACUGCAUCAAGUAUGAUCUUCAGCAUAACCAGCAUACGUUGCAGUUUGAUCUCGCUGAGGAACUUUAUAUCUAUGCUAAGUACUUGGCGGAUAUUGUGAUACCUCAGGAAUACGGUCUAACGAUGCAGGAAAAACUAACAAUAGGACAGGGAAUUUGCACGCCCCUCCUCAAGAAGAUCAGAGCUGAUCUGCAGAGGAACAUCGAAGAGUCCGGAGAGGAAACUGUCAAUAGAUUGAACCCCAGGUACAGCCACGGCGUGUCGUCGCCGGGCCGCCACGUGCGGACACGGCUCUACUUCACUAGCGAGAGCCACGUGCACUCCUUGCUGACCGUGCUGAGGUUCGGGGGGCUGUUGGAUGUACUAAAAGAUGAACAAUGGCGUCGUGCGAUGGAGUACGUGUCCACUGUUUCCGAACUCAACUACAUGUCACAGAUAGUCGUCAUGCUAUAUGAAGACCCCACUAAGGAUCCUUACUCAGAAGAAAGGUUCCACGUGGAGCUACACUUCAGCCCGGGCGUGAACUGCUGCGUGCAGAAGAACUUGCCGCCCGGCCCCGGCUUCCGCCCGCACAGUCGCAACCACUCCACUACUAACAACUCCCAGAGUUCGUCAGACGAAGUGAAAUGUAUAGAAGAGGAAGGCGAAGACGACAAUAUGGCUAGCCAAGAAACUUUGCAGCCGGAUGCCGAUGAACUGGACAAUACUUUCUCGCCGAAGAAGCUGUCAAAAUCUAAAAUAAGGCCUUCAGAUCCUAUACCUAUUUGCGACGCGUACAGCAACCUGCACUACACGGUGAGCGGGCACGAGGCGUCGACACUGGCGGCGCGGCUCAGCGCCGAGCUGCGCGCGCGCGGCCACGCCGACGCGCCCGCGCAUCCCGCCAGUCAGGGCGACGAAAAAGAGCCGAAAGACGUAGAGGAAGCGCCGCCCCGCGCUCGGUCCUACGACCAACACAAGCAGAGCCACGACAACGGGCGGCGCCAGCGGCACAGCAUCGCCGGCCAGAUGAGCUACCUCAAGAUGCUGGGGCUGGGCGCGCGCGGCAAGCUGUCCGCCGCCGGCCUCUUCAGCACCGCUGUCAUCUCGGGCUCCAGCUCCGCGCCCAACCUGCGCGUCAUGAUCCCCUCCGCCGCCUCCAGCAACGCCGCAGUGGAGGGCUUCGGCGGGGUGCCGGCCAUCCGUCCUCUAGAGACGCUACACAACGCGCUGUCGCUGCGGCAGCUGGACGCGUUCCUGGAGCGCGUGACGGCGGCGCCCGUGCUACUGGGCACGCCGCCCGCGCCGCACAAGCCUGCCUCGCCCACCAACAGUGUGGGGUGGAGCGGUCCGUCGUCGCUGAUGUCGUCAUCAGGCGAGCUGCCCAGCGGCCUGUCCUCCGCCGGGCCCUCCUCGCCCAACUCCAACUACGCCUCCAACUCGGAACAUAAGACAACGUCCACCGAAAGGUUCAUCUAUUAGCGGGGAUGUGACGCCGGUGUCGAUAGCCUCGGAGCUGGACUUCAACAGCAAUGAGGCUACCGCCGGCUCCAUCACGGACCAUGAUCUACUGAGUGCAGAAGGUGAAGAUGAUGAAGAGACCCUUUCAGUAGACCCGUGCGGCUCUCCCGUCAAGAUGAUCAAGAACGACCUGAGCCCACAGACCUACACCGCGGUCAGCGCCCUCAGACUCGACAACUGUCAGCCGUCCACUAGCAAAGAGUUCUUCGGCCUAAGUCUACAACAGACUAAGGAAUGCUUCUACAAAGACAUGCCAUUAAGUAGCAAAAAUUAUAACUUAGAUAAUGAUUCUAAACAAAAGUGUACCAAGGAAAAUACGCCUUACAUGUCCAAUAUUGAUUCGCUUAAUUUGCAAAGCAAAGAUGGCAAAAGUAAAAUUAAAAAGAAUGAAAUUCUGAAUAAUGGUAGUAGAAGGUACAGUGACAGUAGUGCACAAAAAAGUAAUGUUAGUUCCCAAGCAACUGUUUCGGGCAGUCGAUUUAAAAUGACUUUAGUAACAGAUGACCUGCUCCGGCCAAGCACUUCUUCAGACAGUACAAAUAACGUGGCAACCAUAGAGCCCGCCUUGCCAUUGGUCACGAAGGCUAAAAACUCCAAUGUUAAACCAGGUUUUACUAUAUCAGAAACGUAGUUCUGGAAUAAUCGAUAACUCAAUACGUUCAACGUUGAUAUUAAUAUUGUUGCGUACUGAUCUUAAUCGUACAGUUAGUGAAAUUAUACCAUUUAAAAUAAUAACACAAUAUAAGUUCUCUGCGACUGCUAUAAUGUUUGCAGUAUAAUGGCAUAAAUGGCAUUGACCAUUUAUAUGCAGUUGAAUAAUCAAAUAGACUGUAAUGAAGUCCCAAUAAAGUAUUUAAUGCAUUCAGUGUAGUUCAAUCAUAAUAAUCUCACAAGCUGAGCACAUUUAAACUAUUACAGUUUUUAUUAGCCUUUUGAUAUUAUAUACUUACCUGUGUUUACAGUUUGUUUAUCGAUUCCUAUAUUUUUACACUCAUUGCUGUGAUUAUUGUAUGUUUUUUCCGAAUCUGAUAUUAUUUAAUGCUUUGUAUAUUGAGUAUUAUAAAUUAGUUAAACAUUUAAUAACUAGGCUAUGCAAUCGUACUUAACAGUCACAUAAUUAUUUGUAUAUGCUGGUAUUUCAAACUAUGUGCUUGUAUCAUGCUUGAAUCAGAGGCAAUGUAUUGAGUCAAUAGUCAAUGCUCUAUUUAAUAUUGCUUUACUAAAUUGUUUCAUCGCGCAAUACAAUUUUAUAAAAAUCAUAAGAUAUUGAUAUACCUAUUGAAUGUAUUAGUUAAGUGUUUACAUCAAAAUAUAAUAAUAAUGAAUGA